CGGAAUAUAGCGCAGUCCGGUAGCGCACCUGCCUUGGGAGCAGGGGGCCGCAAGUUCGAUUCUUGCUAUUCCGACCA
This 77-nucleotide transfer RNA is filed under the name Fusobacterium sp. DD1. RNAcentral describes it as "tRNA-Pro". It matches the Rfam family "tRNA". From Rfam's summary of the family: Transfer RNA (tRNA) molecules are approximately 80 nucleotides in length. Their secondary structure includes four short double-helical elements and three loops (D, anti-codon, and T loops). The record is from RNAcentral. RNAcentral also lists the same sequence under 16 other names. Lineage: Bacteria; Fusobacteriati; Fusobacteriota; Fusobacteriia; Fusobacteriales; Fusobacteriaceae.